Molecule: ribosomal RNA, 301 nt
Filed under: uncultured bacterium
Lineage: Bacteria
Description: partial 16S ribosomal RNA
Rfam family: Bacterial small subunit ribosomal RNA
Source: RNAcentral
CAGCCGCCGCGGGAAUACAGAGGGUGCGAGCGUUAAUCGGAUUUACUGGGCGUAAAGCGUGCGUAGGCGGCUAAUUGAGUCGGAUGUGAAAUCCCCGAGCUUAACUUGGGAAUUGCAUUCGAUACUGGUUAGCUAGAGUGUGGGAGAGGAUGGUAGAAUUCCAGGUGUAGCGGUGAAAUGCGUAGAGAUCUGGAGGAAUACCGAUGGCGAAGGCAGCCAUCUGGCCUAACACUGACGCUGAGGUACGAAAGCAUGGGGAGCAAACAGGAUUAGAUACCCCUGUAGUCCCUGUCUCUUAUAA